GCCCGGGUGGCUCAGUCGGUUGGGCGUCUGACUUCGGCUCAGGUCCUGAUCUCACGGUUCGUGGGUUCGAGCCCCACGUCGGGCU
This 85-nucleotide transfer RNA is filed under the name Felis catus (domestic cat). It matches the Rfam family "tRNA". From Rfam's summary of the family: Transfer RNA (tRNA) molecules are approximately 80 nucleotides in length. Their secondary structure includes four short double-helical elements and three loops (D, anti-codon, and T loops). Lineage: Eukaryota; Metazoa; Chordata; Mammalia; Carnivora; Felidae. The record is from Rfam by way of RNAcentral.